GUAAUAUUGUGUGUUAGGGCAUCU
This 24-nucleotide non-coding RNA is filed under the name Arabidopsis thaliana (thale cress). Lineage: Eukaryota; Viridiplantae; Streptophyta; Magnoliopsida; Brassicales; Brassicaceae. The record is from RNAcentral.